UACAGAGGGUGCAAGCGUUAAUCGGAUUUACUGGGCGUAAAGCGUGCGUAGGCGGCCGCGUAAGUCGGAUGUGAAAUCCCUGGGCUUAACCUGGGAACUGCAUUCGAUACUGCGUGGCUAGAGUACGGUAGAGGGUGGCGGAACUCCGGGUGUAGCGGUGAAAUGCGUAGAUAUCCGGAGGAACGCCGAUGGCGAAGGCAGCCACCUGGGCCUGUACUGACGCUGAGGUGCGAAAGCGUGGGGAGCAAACAGG
Molecule: ribosomal RNA, 253 nt
Filed under: uncultured bacterium
Lineage: Bacteria
Description: partial 16S ribosomal RNA
Rfam family: Bacterial small subunit ribosomal RNA
Source: RNAcentral